GCGGGUGUAGUUCAGCGGUAGAACGUCAGCUUCCCAAGCUGAAUGUCGCCGGUUCGAUUCCGGUCACCCGCU
This 72-nucleotide transfer RNA is filed under the name Phycisphaeraceae bacterium. RNAcentral describes it as "tRNA-Gly". It matches the Rfam family "tRNA". From Rfam's summary of the family: Transfer RNA (tRNA) molecules are approximately 80 nucleotides in length. Their secondary structure includes four short double-helical elements and three loops (D, anti-codon, and T loops). The record is from RNAcentral. Lineage: Bacteria; Pseudomonadati; Planctomycetota; Phycisphaerae; Phycisphaerales; Phycisphaeraceae. RNAcentral also lists the same sequence under 2 other names.